CAGUCGCCACGGUAAUACGUAGGUGGCAGGCGUUGUCCGGAAUUAUUGGGCGUAAAGGGCUCGCAGGCGGUUUCUUAAGUCUGAUGUGAAAGCCCCCGGCUCAACCGGGGAGGGUCAUUGGAAACUGGGAAACUUGAGUGCAGAAGAGGAGAGUGGAAUUCCACGUGUAGCGGUGAAAUGCGUAGAGAUGUGGAGGAACACCAGUGGCGAAGGCGACUCUCUGGUCUGUAACUGACGCUGAGGAGCGAAAGCGCGGGGAGCGAACAGGAUUAGAUACCCCAGUAGUCCCUGUCUCUUAUAA
RNAcentral lists this ribosomal RNA (301 nucleotides) under uncultured bacterium. RNAcentral's name for it is "partial 16S ribosomal RNA". It matches the Rfam family "Bacterial small subunit ribosomal RNA", at positions 509 to 809 of the family's 1533-position model. The record is from RNAcentral.